Peromyscus maniculatus bairdii (prairie deer mouse) is the source of this 820-nucleotide non-coding RNA. Lineage: Eukaryota; Metazoa; Chordata; Mammalia; Rodentia; Cricetidae. The record is from RefSeq and is a predicted model, not a curated record.
ACCAAAGGCCUGAGCAAUUCUCAGUCACGAGACCUCAUGGUUUUCCAAGUCCUCUCAUCACUAAUUUUUGUAAAGGCCUUAAACCCUUCAGGAAGAACUCAGCUAAGGUUCAGACACUUCCAACAGAAGGUCAUCAGUAACAAAAGAUGACAUCACACAAGGACGUUCAAAGCCUAGGUGCUAACACUCUGGAUUCCAAGCCAGAUGCGAUACUCUGUGGGACCUCCCACUACAGGUUCUUUGUCAAUGUGGUGAAAGCUACAGUUAUCUGGGAAGAGGAACCUCAAUUGAUAAAAUGUUUCCAUCAGAACACCUGUAGACAAGUCUGAGGACAUUUUCUUGAUUAACGAUUGAUGUGGGAAGGCCCAGCUCACUGGGAUCAGCGCCACUGGUCGGCAGGUGGUACUGAGUUGUGUACGACAGCAGACAAGCCAUUGGGAGCAAGCCAGUAAGCAGCAUUCUUCCAUGGCCUCUGCUUCAGUUCCUGCCCUGACUUUUCUUCAUGAUGAACUACAACUGUCUUGUGCAAGCAGCCACAGCUUCUCUGAGUUCAUGAGGACAACAGUCCCAUCAUGUCCAGAAGACACUUUCAGUUCAGUCCUCCCCAGUCUCUGGCUCUUAUUCUGGACCCUCUUUCAUGACAGCCCUUAAGCCUUGGAGGAGAAGCACAAUGGGAUAAGAAUCUUUUCCACAGAGACCGAGCCUGCGGCAGCUGCACAAGUCCCUGCAAGCAGGUUCCUGUUUAAGUGACACUGAGUCAGAGAUGCAUUAACUCAGAAGAGACUUGAAGGAGGAAACAAAAAGCUCUUGUCAUCUAAUA